This is a long non-coding RNA of Rhea pennata, 2316 nucleotides long. RefSeq lists it as uncharacterized. The transcript is spliced from 3 exons. The record is from RefSeq and is a predicted model, not a curated record. Lineage: Eukaryota; Metazoa; Chordata; Aves; Rheiformes; Rheidae.
CAGCUCUGGGACAGAUUGCUACAAAGAACGAAGAACUGCUUUUUUAGCAAUAUAGUUGCAGAAUAUGCAGUAUGCAAGCAAAUAUCCAUUUGUUGAUUUAAGGUUUUGAUAUUCUAUCAUUCCUCAUGCAUCUGAGAGAUGAGAUGUGAACCACAUUUUCCAGCUUUUUAUCGCAACCGUGAAACUAGGAGUGGUCUUUCUUAAAGUCCUAAUGGAAAUUCAGAAGCUGAGGACAGAAUGAAAACACCAAACCCAGUGAAGAUCAUCAUAAAAUGAUGAGACGUGACAACUCCAACGAUGUCUGCUGUUACCAAGGUGCAGGAACAUUUUGUUUCUAUCUGUUAAAUGAUUUUUCCCAUUCAGAAGAACCUUGUGUCUGACUGGAAAUCUGCCUUUGAUCUGCUUUGUCCACAACCAAAGCAAGGUCCCGCGCAGUGUCCAAGCCCCGGAGGGCCCCUGUGCUCACAGGUGAGAGGGAAGCAGAGAGCCAGCAAAGGCUGACAGCUCCAGCGACCUCCACCACCAGCUGCUGAUCGUAACGAGGGGGCGCAGCUGGGAGCCUGGCCCCGCCAGGCAGCGAGGAUUUGGGGGGCUUGUCUGCCCUCAGCUCUGUGCAGGAAAUCAGCCUCCGAGUACUGAAACUUGGUCUUUUUCCCCUGGAUUAUGUGCUGUGUAAGAGCUGCAUGCUGCAGGAGGGUUUUUCCUAUGGCUGAAGACCAGCUUGCUCACCCCCUGUACCAAGGAACAGGAGUUUGGGCUGCAGAUAUUUGCAGAGGCUGUGCAAGGAGGCCCUGUCUGCAAGCAAAGAGGGAGGACAGCGAGGCCUGGCCGGCAAUCCCUAUCGUGCCUCCUCAGGAGAGGAGGGAAGGCUCCCCUGGUGCUCGUCCCCUGGGACACUGCUCCCUUGAAACUUGCCUUCGCCUGAGCUACCAGUAGGUAAAGCACAAAUAUAUCCCUGGAGUUGGGCCCGUGCCAGGUCAGGGCUCAGCGUAGUGCAGGGGUAGCUGCAGGUUACCUUUAUCAAAAACAACAACAAAGUUCUUCUUUAAGGGAGCUUUUUAGUAAGGAACUUUUUAGACUGGCUCAUGCUUCUACUCAGAAGAACUGUACUCUGGGCACAGUGAGUCUCUACUCUCCUGAACUUCAAGUGUUGUGGCUUGGAGGUUCAUUUCUGGGAUUUUUUUUUCUCUUUCUCCUCCCAAAAUCCUGCUGCUAUCAAAACCAGAAAAAGUUUUCUUUAUGUUGAGCCUUUCUUCCGAAAGAGACCAUCCUGUUCUGCAGAAAGGCGGCUCAGAAACUGCUGUGGGCUAGUGGGGCUGGGGAGCGCGGCCUGGGAAGCAGCCUCCCGUUUCUUCUUGCUGACUCAUCUGCAAGGGGAAGGUCAUAAAGCGGUAGAGACAGAGGCUCUGGAGAGGCCAUGUUUACACCUCUCAUCUUUAAAGAAAGCAUACCCCAGCAACCCAGGGAUUAAGAGCAGAUGUUGUAUCACAGCAGGGGAGCUGCCUGCGCGCUUCUGGAGGACGAAGCGGGCCCCAACACAGGAGCAACCUUUGCGAAGGCUAAAAGCUGAGCCUCCAGCAGACUUUGUUGGAUGAUCUCCACCAGCUCUGCAUGGAAAGGACUUUGGUUUAAAGACUGCAGGCUCUUUAGAAGCAAGGACAUUCAGCUGUUCAGAGGCCUGAUGCUGGCAUGAAGCCGCUACGCAGGCUGCAAGGCGCCGCUGGGCCGUGGAGGCUCUGCCUGGCCUCGCACGGGGAAGACGGCAGAAGGGAGUAUUUAAAAACUCUUGGGUCUAUAAAACGUGUCCGGGUUGCUCUGUCAUUCAGGACCAGAAGAUACAUCAAUAUAGUAAGCUAAACCAAACCUUUUAAGCUUAACUCUGAUUGAAAUUUCCCGUUAUGAUUGGAGAUGUCACUCUCUCUUUCUGGCAGUAUCUUAAAAGCUGGGUGAGUGGUAUUCCUUAGCCCUGUCUAUUUAGGUUAUAAGCUGUUUGAGGCAAGUUCUCUUGGUGUCUUGUGUGAAUGCUGCCUCAGUGUUUGGUCUCUCAGUGCAACUGAAAUAUAAAAAAGCUGCUAAGCUUCAGCUUUGAUUCUCAAUCAUCACUGAAGAUUUCCUGAUGAUUUCUAUUUUAAGGAAAUAUCUUAUUCAUAAUUUAUGUCUUAUAUAAAUUGAAAGAUGAGCAAAAAGCCAUGAAUGUAAACCUUUGUAUUCUGUUUCAGAGCUGUUUGGAUGCAAUACUAUCUCUGUAUUCAGUGCUAUUUCAGUGCAUUUUAUUUGAAAUGGAUGCUUGGAGUUAAAAUUCAAUGGUCUUACAGA